AUGGCAGAAGGAGCAAAGAGGUAUGCAGUUGUUACAGGUUCAAAUUGGAUUUGGAACAGUUAAGCUAUUGGCUUCAAAAGGGGUCAAGGUUGUGCUAACUGGAGAGGUCUUGAAGCUAUUGAAAAGCUAAAAGAAUAUGGCUUCUCAGACCUUGUGGUUUAUCACCAGCUCGAUGUAACAGACCCAAACAGCAUUGCUUGCCUUGCUGAUUUUGUCAAAUCUCAAUUCGGGAAACUCGAUAUCUUGGUAAACAAUGCAGGGAUAGGUGGAACCAUUGUAGACCCUGAAGCUUUCAAAGUAGCUGCAGCUGCAGUCGAUUUGAGUAAGCUAAUCACUCAAACAUACGAGUUAGCUGCAGAAUGUGUUAAAACAAACUACUAUGGUGCCAAGAAAAUGACUGAAGCAUUCCUUCCUCUCCUUCAGCUGUCUGAUUCUCCAAGAGUUUCCAAUAUUACUUCUGGCCAUAUACCAAAUGACUGGGCAAAGAGGGUGUUGAGUGAUGCUGAGAAUCUUACAGAAGAGAAAAUAGAUGAGGUAUUGAGCGAGUUUCUAAAGGACUUCAAAGAAGAUAUGCUGGAAACCAAAGGUUGGCCUACUGCCCUCUCUGCAUAUAUAGUCUCCAAAGCAGCCUUGACUGCUUACACUAGAAUUGUAGCCAAGAAGCACACAAACUUCGGCGUCAAUUGUGUCUGCCCCGGGUUUGUCAAAACAGAAAUGAGCUUCAAUGCUGGAGUCUUGACCCCCGAUGAAGCUGCUGAGAUUAUCGUGCGGUUAACAGUGUUUCCGAAUGGCAAUCCUACUGGACUCUUCUUCUCUUCAGAAGAAGUUUCACCCUUUUGAGUUAUAUGUUCUGUCAGUUUUAUGCAAUGUAAAUCUAGUAUUUCAAAAAAAGUUGUUUAUCAUUCAUUGAUGAAGGUAUCAUAUAAGGACGUUUUGUAGUAAUAUUACUACUACACAUUUGUAGUAGUUUCAUCCUUUUCUUCUCUCUUUCUCAAUUUGCUUCUUGUGUUUCCCAGGUAUGCAGUUGUGACAGGAUCAAACAAAGGAAUCGGGUUCGAAACUGUAAGGCAGUUGGCCUCAAAGGGAAUCAAUGUGGUCUUAACUGCUAGAGAUGAGAAGAGAGGUCUUGAAGCUGUUGAGAAACUUAAAGAGUCUGGCCUCUCAGCCCAAGUGGUUUUUCACCAACUCGAUGUGGCUGACCCUGCUAGUAUUGCUUCUCUGGCACAAUUCGUCAAGACCCAGUUCGGGAAACUCGAUAUUUUGGUGAACAAUGCAGGGAUUGGUGGAGUGAUAAUUGAUGCUCAUGGAGGACAGAUUAAUUGGACAAAGUUCUUGACUGAAACUUAUGCGUUAACAGAAGAAUGCUUGCAAAUCAAUUAUUACGGUGCUAAAAAAACAGCUGAAGCACUUAUUCCACUUCUCCAGCUCUCUGAUUCACCAAGAAUUGUUAAUGUUUCAUCCUCUAUGGGGAAGUUAAAGAAAAUACCAAGUGAUCGGGUGAAAGGAAUUCUUAGUGCUGACAUAGAGAACCUAAGCGAAGAGACUGUAGAUCAAGUACUGACAGAGUUUCUAAACGACCUCAAAGAGGGUUCACUUGAACUCAAGGGUUGGCCUACUCUGAUGUCAGGCUAUACAGUCUCAAAAGCAGCAAUGAAUGCAUACACAAGGAUUCUAGCCAAGAAAUACCCUGGAUUUUGUGUCAACUCUGUCUGCCCUGGUUAUGUCAAAACAGAUAUAAAUUUCAAUACCGGCUUCAUGACUGUUGAAGAAGGCACUGCAAGUGUAGUGAAGUUAGCAUUGCUGCCCAAUGAUGGCCCUACUGGCCAGUUCUUUUUCCGUUCUGAAUCAUCUACAGCAUAUUCAGCCAAGAUGUAUGCAGUUGUGACAGGAGCAAACAAAGGAAUCGGAUUAGAAACUGUAAGGCAGUUGGCCUCAAAGGGAAUCACUGUGGUCUUAACUGCUAGAGAUGAGAAGAGGGGGCUUGAAGCUGUUGAGAAACUUAAAGAGUCUGGCCUCUCAGGCCAAGUAGUUUUUCACCAACUUGAUGUGGCUGACCCUUCUAGUAUUGCUUCUCUUGCACACUUCAUCAAAACACAGUUUGGGAAACUCGAUAUUUUGGUGAACAAUGCUGGGAUUUUUGGAGCUAUAGUCGAUGCUGAUGGUUUUAGAGCUGCAAUUGCAUCUGGUGCUUCAAGGGAAGCAGGACAAAAUGAUUUCAAAAAGUUGGUGACUGAAACUUAUGAGUUAGCUGAAGAAUGCGUGCAAAUCAAUUAUUAUGGUGCUAAAAGGACAGCUGAAGCACUUAUUCCACUCCUCCAGCUAUCGGAUUCACCAAGAAUUGUUAAUGUUUCAUCCUCUAUGGGGAAAUUACAGAACAUACCAAGUGAUCAGGUGAAAAGAGUUCUUAGAACUGAUGUUGAGAACUUAAGUGAGGAGGCUGUAGAUCAAGUAUUGACAGAGUUUCUAAAAGACUUCAAGGAGGGUUUACUCGAAACCAAGGGUUGGCCUUCUGUGGGGGCAGGCUAUACAGUCUCAAAAGCAGCAAUGAAUGCAUAUACAAGGAUUUUAGCCAAGAAGUACCCUGUUUUUCGCAUCAACUCUAUCUGCCCUGGCUAUGUCAAAACAGAUAUAAACUUCAAUACUGGUUUCUUGGCUGUUGAAGAAGGUGCUGCAAGUGUAGUAAAUUUAGCAUUGCUGCCAGAUGAUGGCCCGACAGAGGUAUAUAUCUACUCCAUGUCCUUAGUUUACUUUUGGCUUACCAUUUUCACUUUUUGUUCUGAACUUGCUCUUCUUUUCUGCAGGUAUGCAGUUGUCACAGGAUCAAAUAAAGGAAUCGGAUUCGAAACUGUAAGGCAGUUGGCCUCAAAUGGAAUUACUGUGGUGUUAACUGCUAGAGAUGAGAAGAGGGGCCUUGAAGCUGUUGAGAAAUUGAAAGAGUCUGGUCUUUCAGGCCAAGUGGUUUUUCACCAACUUAAUGUGGCUGACCCUGCUAGCAUUGCUUCUUUAGCGCUAUUCAUCAAGUCCCAGUUUGGGAAGCUCGAUAUCUUGGUGAACAAUGCAGGUAUUGGUGGAUCAAUAAUUGAUGAUGAUGGUGCUAAAGCUGCAGUUGCAGCUGGAAGACAACUUGAUUGGCAAAAACUGGUGACAGAAACUAAUGAGUUAACAGAAAAGUGCUUGCACAUUAAUUAUUACUGAGCUAAAAGAACAUCGGAAGCACUUAUUCCACUCCUCGAGCUUUCUGAUUCACCAAGAAUUGUUAAUGUUUCAUCGUCUGUGGGGAAGUUAAAAUACAUACCAAGUGAUAGAGUUAAAAGAAUUUUCACUGAUGUCGAGAACCUAAAAGAAGAGAGUAUUGAUGAAGUAUUGACAGAGUUGGACUACAAGGAGGGUUCACUUGAAAGUAAGGACUGGCCUUCUUCUAUGUCAGGCUAUACACUUGCAAAAGCAUCACUGAAUGCAUAUACAAGGAUUCUAGCCAAGAAAUACCCCAGUUUUCUGGUCAACUGUCUCUGCCCCGGCUAUGUCAAAACAGAUUUUAACCUCAAUGCUGGUGCUGUGCCUGUUGAAGAAGGUGCUGCGAAUUCUGUGCGGUUGGCGCUGCUUCCCACUGAUGGCCCUUCUGGCCAAUUCUUUGUUCGAUCUGAAGUUAGCAUUUACUGA
This is an RNA transcript of Fragaria vesca subsp. vesca, 3660 nucleotides long. RefSeq lists it as uncharacterized. The transcript is spliced from 14 exons. The record is from RefSeq and is a predicted model, not a curated record. NCBI's taxonomy places the organism in Eukaryota, Viridiplantae, Streptophyta, Magnoliopsida, Rosales, Rosaceae.